GGGCCCGCACAAGCGGUGGAGUAUGUGGUUUAAUUCGAUGCAACGCGAAGAACCUUACCAGGGUUUGACAUCCUGCGAAUUUCUGGGAAACGAGAGAGUGCCUUCGGGAACGCAGUGACAGGUGGUGCAUGGCUGUCGUCAGCUCGUGUCGUGAGAUGUUGGGUUAAGUCCCGCAACGAGCGCAACCCACGUCUUUAGUUGCCAGCAUUUAGUUGGGCACUCUAGAGAGACUGCCGGUGAUAAACCGGAGGAAGGUGUGGAUGACGUCAAAUCAUCACGGCCCUUACGUCCUGGGCCACACACGUGCUACAAUGCUACGGACAAAGGGCAGCAAGUUCGCGAGGACAAGCAAAUCCCAUAAACCGUGGCUCAGUUCAGAUCGUAGGCUGCAACUCGCCUACGUGAAGGCGGAAUCGCUAGUAAUCGCAGGU
RNAcentral lists this ribosomal RNA (431 nucleotides) under uncultured bacterium. Its description in RNAcentral is "bacterial SSU rRNA". It matches the Rfam family "Bacterial small subunit ribosomal RNA", at positions 917 to 1349 of the family's 1533-position model. The record is from RNAcentral.